This 480-nucleotide ribosomal RNA is filed under the name uncultured bacterium. Its description in RNAcentral is "partial 16S ribosomal RNA". It matches the Rfam family "Bacterial small subunit ribosomal RNA", at positions 28 to 523 of the family's 1533-position model. The record is from RNAcentral.
GACGAACGCUGGCGGCGUGCUUAACACAUGCAAGUCGAGCGAUGAAGCACCUUCGGGUGUGGAUUAGCGGCGAACGGGUGAGGAACACGUGAGGAAUCUGCCUUUCACUUCGGGAUAACUCCGGGAAACCGGGGCUAAUACCGGAUAUUUUCAACUGGCGGCAUCGCCGGUUGAAGAAAGUUUUUCGGUGAAAGAUGACCUCGCGGCCUAUCAGCUUGUUGGUGAGGUAAUGGCUCACCAAGGCGACGACGGGUAGCCGGCCUGAGAGGGCGACCGGCCACACUGGGACUGAGACACGGCCCAGACUCCUACGGGAGGCAGCAGUGGGGAAUAUUGGACAAUGGAGGAAACUCUGACCCAGCGACGCCGCGUGAGGGAUGAAGGCCUUCGGGUUGUAAACCUCUUUCAGCAGGGAAUAAGCGAAAGUGAAGGUACCUGCAGAAGAAGCACCGGCUAACUAUGUGCCAGCAGCCGCCGUAA